GUCAGAUUUUCCACAGCUCAGUUACGAUCCACACAGCUCCACAACAACACACAGGACCAGCCGAGCUCCCCUCUGUCGCUGCACUGCAGUAGGAUGGCCUGGGUUUGCUUGUCCAAAUGGCUGCUCCUCCUGAGUGUGUGCUGCCUUGGAUUGAGUGCGCUUCACUUGGUAGACAGUGACUGGGAGUGGGGCUCAGGCCUGGAGGAGCUUCUGCAGAGCUUCCCAGCGGACAGCCCCUUCAUCACAGAGAAACCUGGACAUCCUGCCAACUGCACACAGCGCUUCUGGCUGCCCUCGUCCACUCCUGUGUGCUGGGAUAACAUAGUGGGUCCUGAGGAGUUUGAGCAGACCCGGCUGCUGGUUCUGCAGAACCGUGCGGCUCUGCAGGCCGUUUCCCAGGCCAGCGGCCUAGAGGAGGGGGGAGCCUCCUAUGAUCAGCAGGCCAGGGAGUUCAUCAGAGGGGUCCUGGAUGACCACAGCAACAUUGAGCAGACAGUAGACUCCAUGCAGGAGGUCUUCAACAGCCUGGACAAGAAAAGGAAGGAGGGUGGACAACACUACACCUUCUCCAGGUCUUGAAGCUUACCAGAACUAAGUAAACUUCUAAAGAAACUGUUUUGGAGCCCACCCGCACGGCUGAAUUCCAUGAGAAUGAUGUAACAUGUGGAAAAGACACGUCAGCUCUUGUCCCUCUGCAUGAUUAAGAGUGUUGUUAAAAAGGGAGUACUUUAUUACACACACAUCUUACAUCUCCAGUGUUCACUACACCAAUGCAUAUUGUGUCUUUAGCUUCUUAAGUGCAGAAAGCACAGCUUAUUAAUUUAUUCAGUAAAAGGCAAUCCAAACUUUUGUUAAGUUUUGUCAUGUACUGAUCUGCAGUUUUAAUCAAACACUGCUACAAUUUCUGAUUUCUGAAAAUAAAAGAUAUUUUCUUUUUCUGUUCA
RNAcentral lists this long non-coding RNA (944 nucleotides) under Astyanax mexicanus (Mexican tetra). RNAcentral's name for it is "lncRNA (ENSAMXG00005018089.1)". Lineage: Eukaryota; Metazoa; Chordata; Actinopteri; Characiformes; Acestrorhamphidae. The record is from RNAcentral.